Non-coding RNA from Xiphophorus maculatus (southern platyfish), 2268 nucleotides. NCBI's taxonomy places the organism in Eukaryota, Metazoa, Chordata, Actinopteri, Cyprinodontiformes, Poeciliidae. The record is from the annotation of a RefSeq genome assembly.
AGAAGUGUGCUGCCUUUUAUUGAUCUGCUGCUUUUCUUAGCUUUCUUGGAAAUAAUAUCAUCAGAUGUCACAGAGCUCAACUCAGCUGUCAGUCCACAGCUGCUGACAUCCAGAGAAACAAAGAAACCUGGAGAACAAGAUAUGAAGAAGAGAGGUGGGGGUAGGAAAGAAAGGGAAAGCACCAGGUCUGGUUUCUGUAUGGUGCAUUUUCACUGUGGGGACAGUUUCCAAUCAAAGGCAAUCUUCGGAGAGGGAACUAAACUUACAGUUUUAGAAGUGAAGACUACUCCCAAACCACCGAAGGUCCAAGUGUUUCCACCCUCUAAAAAGGAAUGUGAAAGCAAAACAGAUGGGAAGAAAAUGAAGACAUUAGUGUGCUUGGCUUCUGGGUUCUACCCAGACCAUGUGACAGUUUCCUGGCAGAUCAACGGGUUUAAUGAAAAACAGGGAGUGAAGACCGAUGAUGCUGCCACGAUGAAAGAUGAUGGUAACUACACCAUUAUGAGCAGGUUGAGGGUUACGGCAUCAAAGUGGUUGAAAAAGGGCACAAAUAUCACCUGCAUUGUCAGCUUCUUUGAUGGGAAUAACACCGUACCUUAUCCAAACUGGACAAUAGGACCAGGAAAUGAAGCAACAAGAGAGAAAUAUCUACAAACCAUGCAAAGAGCCAAGCUAUCCUACACUGCUCUGUUGAUGAAGAGUAGCAUCUACGGCCUCUUUGUGCUGCUGUUGGUGUGGAAGAUUCAGGCUUCAUUCAAAAACAGCCGAACUGAGAGUUGAGCUGAGGAUUAUGGUGCUUCCAUCAAUCUGUGUUCAAACAUUUUACUCAAAUUGUUCAAGUGUUUCUGCUUUGCAUAAUAAAUGUUAUUGACAGAUUAGUAUACUGAUAAAUAAUUACAUAAUUCUGUCAAAUCUGCUAAUCUGCUGCUUUGUGCCAGUUUUUCCUCCUAAUAAAUCAUUUAACCUCAUAUCUGAGACUAUCACAAUUUCUUUUAGAGUUGAAGUGUAAAAGUAAAGGGCCAGCAUGAAAAUUAGGUGCUGCAAGCAUAUGAGUGCUUAAAAUUACUUCCAUGCUCAAUUACAGGAAAGAAUUUUCAGAAUUUAGCUUUUUCUACCUUACUAGGCUGAACCCAUCAUCUCCCAGUCAGAAUUUUUCUCCAGAAUUCAUCUUUUUAAUUUUUAGUCUUGCAUGGUAGAUUAGUUUUCACCUAACAGACCAUUGUAUUCUUUGUGAGCAAAGCUUCACUGUUGGUAGAAAGGUUGAUGUGUAAAUGUCAGUGAACCACGUCUCAGUGUAACAGGAAAUCCUUUUUCUCAACUAUGUAUAAGAAUCAGAUUGAGGCUGCUGGUGCACCCCAACAAACCAGGCCACCAGGGCCUGUGUAGGUGUUGAAAGUGAAACGGAUGUGGUCUACAGGGCAGGCUGCAGGAUGCUGAGGAGCAUUUUGCAAGCGAAAGCACCUGUUCAACCACUCCUGUGGCUUUGGUGCUGCAGCACAAACAGCUGGGGGUGGGUCAACUGAAACUGCAGUGUGUGAACUCAGCGGCCAUUUCAUUUGAGUUGCUGCUUUUCCGCUGUUCCUAAUUUCUUUCUGCCAAAUAAAAACGGCUCAGUUAGUGCAACAGACCUUUUUUUUUUUACAUUUUUGUUGUUUUAUUUCUAAUUCAAGACAAUUCAUAGAGCUAUGUAUGUAUCAUCUGCAUAUUAUGGUAACUAAUCUUAUUACUUGUUAUCACCUGAGCAUAUAGAUAUAUCAUAUAUAUCAUAUACGUAUAUCCAGUAUCUACGUACAUUUUUCUGUUUUAAAUAUUUUAAAGUUUAUGUCAGACUUCUGUGUCCCUCAUUCACUCAGUACUUUAGUGAGUGAAUGUAUCUGGAUGAAAAAGUACUAUAUAAAUAAAUGUAAUGUACUAUUUACUUCUUCCUGGGUGUUUAUGAUGUUGGUUCACUAAUGUUACCCUGAAAACCCCUGAAGCCUUUAGAAAAAAUUUGGAUUUUUUAGUAAACAGAGGUUGACUCUUUUUACUAAUUUGUUGAUGUUUGGAGUCAAUUAGUGAUACUGGGUUUAAUUUUGUGGGUAUCAGAGUAAAAGGGUACAUGUGCACUGUCAGGCUUUUUUUAAAAACAUUGUAUAUCUAUCUUUUGUCUUUCACUUUUAUGCAGCUAUUUUGUGUUGGUCUGUCAUAUGAAAUUUGAAUAAAAGAUGUUGGAGUUUCUUGCAGAAGGAUAAAUGUAAAUAAAAUGAAAUGGGUAUGAAGAGGUAUGAA